This 515-nucleotide ribosomal RNA is filed under the name uncultured bacterium. RNAcentral's name for it is "bacterial SSU rRNA". It matches the Rfam family "Bacterial small subunit ribosomal RNA", at positions 395 to 904 of the family's 1533-position model. The record is from RNAcentral.
UGCCGCGUGUGUGAAGAAGGCCUUCGGGUUGUAAAGCACUUUUGUCCGGAAAGAAAUGGCUCUGGUUAAUACCUGGGGUCGAUGACGGUACCGGAAGAAUAAGGACCGGCUAACUACGUGCCAGCAGCCGCGGUAAUACGUAGGGUCCAAGCGUUAAUCGGAAUUACUGGGCGUAAAGCGUGCGCAGGCGGUUGUGCAAGACCGAUGUGAAAUCCCCGAGCUUAACUUGGGAAUUGCAUUGGUGACUGCACGGCUAGAGUGUGUCAGAGGGGGGUAGAAUUCCACGUGUAGCAGUGAAAUGCGUAGAGAUGUGGAGGAAUACCGAUGGCGAAGGCAGCCCCCUGGGAUAACACUGACGCUCAUGCACGAAAGCGUGGGGAGCAAACAGGAUUAGAUACCCUGGUAGUCCACGCCCUAAACGAUGUCAACUAGUUGUUGGGGAUUCAUUUCCUUAGUAACGUAGCUAACGCGUGAAGUUGACCGCCUGGGGAGUACGGUCGCAAGAUAAAACUCAA